RNAcentral lists this ribosomal RNA (484 nucleotides) under uncultured bacterium. RNAcentral describes it as "partial 16S ribosomal RNA". It matches the Rfam family "Bacterial small subunit ribosomal RNA", at positions 29 to 507 of the family's 1533-position model. The record is from RNAcentral.
AUCGAACGCUGGCGGCAUGCUUUACACAUGCAAGUCGAACGGCAGCGCGGGCUUCGGCCUGGCGGCGAGUGGCGAACGGGUGAGUAAUGCAUCGGAACGUGCCCAGUAGUGGGGGAUAGCCCGGCGAAAGCCGGAUUAAUACCGCAUACGACCUGAGGGUGAAAGCGGGGGACCGAAAGGCCUCGCGCUAUUGGAGCGGCCGAUGUCGGAUUAGCUAGUUGGUGGGGUAAAGGCUUACCGAGGCGACGAUCCGUAGCUGGUCUGAGAGGACGACCAGCCACACUGGAACUGAGACACGGCCCAGACUCCUACGGGAGGCAGCAGUGGGGAAUUUUGGACAAUGGGGGCAACCCUGAUCCAGCCAUGCCGCGUGCGUGAAGAAGGCCUUCGGGUUGUAAACCGCUUUUGUUCGGGAAGAAAUCCUCUAGGCUAAUACCCCGGGGGGAUGACGGUACCGGAAGAAUAAGCACCGGCUAACUACGUG